GGGUUGUGAGGUUAAGCGACUAAGCGUACACGGUGGAUGCCCUGGCAGUCAGAGGCGAUGAAGGACGUGCUAAUCUGCGAUAAGCGUCGGUAAGGUGAUAUGAACCGUUAUAACCGGCGAUUUCCGAAUGGGGAAACCCAGUGUGUUUCGACACACUAUCAUUAACUGAAUCCAUAGGUUAAUGAGGCGAACCGGGGGAACUGAAACAUCUAAGUACCCCGAGGAAAAGAAAUCAACCGAGAUUCCCCCAGUAGCGGCGAGCGAACGGGGAGCAGCCCAGAGCCUGAAUCAGUGUGUGUGUUAGUGGAAGCGUCUGGAAAGGCGCGCGAUACAGGGUGACAGCCCCGUACACAAAAAUGCACAUGCUGUGAGCUCGAUGAGUAGGGCGGGACACGUGGUAUCCUGUCUGAAUAUGGGGGGACCAUCCUCCAAGGCUAAAUACUCCUGACUGACCGAUAGUGAACCAGUACCGUGAGGGAAAGGCGAAAAGAACCCCGGCGAGGGGAGUGAAAAAGAACCUGAAACCGUGUACGUACAAGCAGUGGGAGCACGCUUCGGCGUGUGACUGCGUACCUUUUGUAUAAUGGGUCAGCGACUUAUAUUCUGUAGCAAGGUUAACCGAAUAGGGGAGCCGAAGGGAAACCGAGUCUUAACUGGGCGUUAAGUUGCAGGGUAUAGACCCGAAACCCGGUGAUCUAGCCAUGGGCAGGUUGAAGGUUGGGUAACACUAACUGGAGGACCGAACCGACUAAUGUUGAAAAAUUAGCGGAUGACUUGUGGCUGGGGGUGAAAGGCCAAUCAAACCGGGAGAUAGCUGGUUCUCCCCGAAAGCUAUUUAGGUAGCGCCUCGUGAAUUCAUCUCCGGGGGUAGAGCACUGUUUCGGCAAGGGGGUCAUCCCGACUUACCAACCCGAUGCAAACUGCGAAUACCGGAGAAUGUUAUCACGGGAGACACACGGCGGGUGCUAACGUCCGUCGUGAAGAGGGAAACAACCCAGACCGCCAGCUAAGGUCCCAAAGUCAUGGUUAAGUGGGAAACGAUGUGGGAAGGCCCAGACAGCCAGGAUGUUGGCUUAGAAGCAGCCAUCAUUUAAAGAAAGCGUAAUAGCUCACUGGUCGAGUCGGCCUGCGCGGAAGAUGUAACGGGGCUAAACCAUGCACCGAAGCUGCGGCAGCGAC
This 1179-nucleotide ribosomal RNA is filed under the name Escherichia coli. RNAcentral describes it as "partial 23S ribosomal RNA". It matches the Rfam family "Bacterial large subunit ribosomal RNA", at positions 1 to 1212 of the family's 2925-position model. The record is from RNAcentral. Lineage: Bacteria; Pseudomonadati; Pseudomonadota; Gammaproteobacteria; Enterobacterales; Enterobacteriaceae.